Molecule: long non-coding RNA, 623 nt
Organism: Lathyrus oleraceus (garden pea)
Lineage: Eukaryota; Viridiplantae; Streptophyta; Magnoliopsida; Fabales; Fabaceae
Exons: 2
Source: RefSeq, a predicted model, not a curated record
AUUAUGCACUGGCCUCAAAGCAGAGCCCCAUUCGCUAUUGUGCACAUGAGUACAGGGGUACGGGAAGCAAUAUGCAGGUGUGGAUUGGAAAGGCUUGGGCCUUAAGCCCAAGAUACAUAUGGGUAAACCUGAUCCAAGCAUCAAAAGAAAGCUUCACAAAUUUCACCGUCUCUGCUACUAUACGUACGUAAAUAAGGGGAAACGAUGUCAAAAUCGAAUCAAAGAAACUCACCGGAUUGAAGCCCCGAUUGCGAACAUGUGGUUUUGACUCUGUUACAAUUAUUAUACAGGGCUGUAAUUAUUUCCAUUGGGAAAAAUGCAAGGGAAACUCAUGCUAUUAUGCAAGUGGCUUCAAUGUGAUUUGUGUUGCAAGACAAAACAGAGUUGUAACUGGCUUCUGUUAUACACUAUUGUGCAGGGGAUCAUUUGGACUUGUGAGAUUGGAUUAUGUUAUGCUUAAAUUUUGCAGCAGCUGGCUUGACUUGUAUUGAUUGUAUUAAUGGUUGAAAUUUGAAUUAGGAAUAUUGUAUUUUGAAGUUGGCUUUGUAUGGUGAUGUUGUAAUUUGAUUGAAGAUGUGAAUUGAAAUUAAUGUUUGAAUGGAAUAUAUUUGUGUUUGGUUUCA